RNAcentral lists this transfer RNA (84 nucleotides) under Actinomycetota bacterium. RNAcentral describes it as "tRNA-Leu". It matches the Rfam family "tRNA". Rfam says of the family: Transfer RNA (tRNA) molecules are approximately 80 nucleotides in length. The record is from RNAcentral. Lineage: Bacteria; Bacillati; Actinomycetota.
GCGGGCGUGGCGGAACUGGCAAACGCGAUGGCCUUAGGAGCCAUUGAGCGAGAGCUCUUGGGGGUUCGAGUCCCUCCGCCCACA